Long non-coding RNA from Ipomoea triloba (trilobed morning glory), 663 nucleotides. RefSeq lists it as uncharacterized. The record is from RefSeq and is a predicted model, not a curated record. Lineage: Eukaryota; Viridiplantae; Streptophyta; Magnoliopsida; Solanales; Convolvulaceae. The transcript is spliced from 2 exons.
AGUGUAAGCGGGAUUGUGGACUUGAAGGCAAAGAAGAGGAUUGUCAAAGACUAAUAAUGGACAUCGUGUCCUAGUCUAUGGAAGGCAGAAUUGGUAUUUUUGACACCAUGACCAACUCCAAAGCAAUUAUCAUGGAGUUAGUUUUGAAGAAGCACAAUGCUAGCUUGCUGGUUACCUUUACUGGAUAAUGAGGGAUAAAGAAUGUCACUUUCAACAGAAAACAGUCUUUGGUUGGAUACAUGUUGGAGAAGAAGAGAGUUGAGUUGAAGUCCAAGAAGAAGAAGAAGAAAUCUAAGAAAGCACUGCCAAACCCUUAAGCUACAACACUUUCAACCACAAUUAUUACUCAUGAUAUAGAACCAACAACCAGGAAUGCAACAACGUUAAUCUUGCGUAGCAGUCAAUUUCAUCACGUCAAUCCUGAGCUAUCAGGCAGUAUAUAUGCAGAGAGAGACUAAAGUCUGUACUGGAAAAAUCAUGUGAAUUAUCUGUUCUAGUGGUAUGGAUUCCAAAUGGCCAAAUGGGAAUGUGGAAUGUGAAAUAGUAAGCAGAAGAUCGAUAAUAAGAUGCUUGGGGCUUAUUGAAAAUAGUAACCAGGUAAGCUUAGUGAAUAAGAUGCUUUGCGUGAUUGAGCACUUUCUCGGGAGUAUUGGUGUUAAAGAA